UACCAGCACCCCGAGUGGUCGGGACGAUUAUUGAGCCUAAAGCAUCCGUAGCCGGUUCUACAAGUCUUCCGUUAAAUCCACCUGCUUAACAGAUGGGCUGCGGAGGAUACUAUGGAGCUAGGAGGCGGGAGAGGCAAGCGGUACUUAGUGGGUAGGGGUAAAAUCCGUUGAUCCAUUGAAGACCACCAGUGGCGAAGGCGGCUUGCCAGAACGCACUCGACGGUGAGGGAUGAAAGCUGGGGGAGCAAACCGG
Molecule: ribosomal RNA, 253 nt
Filed under: uncultured bacterium
Lineage: Bacteria
Description: partial 16S ribosomal RNA
Rfam family: Archaeal small subunit ribosomal RNA
Source: RNAcentral